ACCGCGUGCGCAUCCUACGUGUUUCUAACACUAAGUAAUGAUAAAUUAUUGUUAAUAUUUUUUAAAUUCUUUGUGCGUUUUUUCCUUCUUUUAUUUCAAAUAGAAGUAUAGUUAGGAUAAAUUUUAGAGCAAAUUUAGAUGCUCAGACGGCAGGAACUAAUGGCAUUUUUGGGCUUCAAAUUUCAAAAAUUUUCUGCGGAAGUAUGCCCCCAGACCCCCUAUUCAUUCACGGUAUGUCGGCCACACACAUGACCCACGGCCAUUACUAUCCCCCUUUAAUAAUAAGUAAUGGAUACAUUAUUGUUAAUAUUUCUUUUAUUUUUUCUGCAUUUUUUCCUUCUUUUAUUUCAAAUACAAGUAUAAUUAGCAUAAAUUUUAGAGCAAAUUUAGAUGCUCAUAAAGCAGGAAAUGGCAUUUGAAAGGUUCAAAUUUAAAACAUUUUCCGGGGGAGUAUGUCGGCCACAGUGUGUGGCCGUCGGCCUUUGCUAUCCCCCUCUAAUAUAUUAUCUCACAGAAAGGUCCCUUUUCAAAAAAAUGCCCCCCCCCCACGGGAAAAUCCUUAAAAAAGGCCCUGUUGUCCUGUAUUUCGGUCUCGGAACUGUCGUAUGUCGUCACGGUAUACGUUAACUGUGUAGUUCGUAUAUUUGCCUAGCCACAUGUUGUGAUUGAGGCUAUGUGAGGAUUGUAAGUUUAUCACCUAGUACUAUUUAAGUAUAGAUGCAAUUAGGUUAUGUGCAUGCUCACAGGGUUUUGAAAGCAAACCAUGCCGUGAAAUAUGUGAAGCCUAUGGUUUGUGUCAUGUAUCUAUCUAGGUAGAAUACCUAAAAGUAGAUGUUGUACAAACUACAAAGUUGUGGUUUAUAGAAUCGGGCAGACCUCCCCCGCCCCC
Molecule: long non-coding RNA, 889 nt
Filed under: Paramuricea clavata
Lineage: Eukaryota; Metazoa; Cnidaria; Anthozoa; Malacalcyonacea; Plexauridae
Source: RNAcentral